AAACAAAACCUUGUAUUACAGUCACAGUCAUACCGGGUAAACAAAACCUUGUAUUACAGUCAUACCGGGUAAACAAAACCUUGUAUUACAGUCACAGUCAUACCGGGUAAACAAAACCUUGUAUUACAGUCACAGUCAUACCGGGUAAACAAAACCUUGUAUUACAGUCACAGUCAUACCGGGUAAACAAAACCUUGUAUUACAGUCAUACCAGGUAAACAAAACCUUGUAUUACAGUCACAGUCAUACCGGGUAAACAAAACCUUGUAUUACAGUCACAGUCAUACCGGGUAAACAAAACCUUGUAUUACAGUCACAGUCAUACCGGGUAAACAAAACCUUGUAUUACAGUCACAGUCAUACCGGGUAAACAAAACCUUGUAUUACAGUCACAGUCAUACCGGGUAAACAAAACCUUGUAUUACAGUCAUACCG
This is a long non-coding RNA of Pecten maximus, 435 nucleotides long. RefSeq lists it as uncharacterized. Lineage: Eukaryota; Metazoa; Mollusca; Bivalvia; Pectinida; Pectinidae. The transcript has 4 exons. The record is from RefSeq and is a predicted model, not a curated record.